RNAcentral lists this ribosomal RNA (373 nucleotides) under Clostridioides difficile. Its description in RNAcentral is "partial 23S ribosomal RNA". It matches the Rfam family "Bacterial large subunit ribosomal RNA", at positions 1071 to 1455 of the family's 2925-position model. Lineage: Bacteria; Bacillati; Bacillota; Clostridia; Peptostreptococcales; Peptostreptococcaceae. The record is from RNAcentral.
GGAUGUGGGAUUGCACAGACAACCAGGAUGUUGGCUUAGAAGCAGCCACUCAUUCAAAGAGUGCGUAAUAGCUCACUGGUCGAGUGAUCCUGCCAGAUUUCCGGGGCUAAUACUUGCUACCGAUGCUACGGCAUCAGUAAUGAUGGGUAGGGGAGCUUCCCAUACGGGUUGAAGCAUGACCGUAAGGAAAUGUGGACAGUAUGGGAGUGAGAAUGUUGGCAUGAGUAGCGAGAUGUGGGUGGGAAUCCCACAGGCCGUAAACCCAAGGUUUCCAGGGGAAGGUUCGUCCGCCCUGGGUUAGUCGGGACCUAAGCUGAGGCCGAAAGGCGUAGGUGAUGGACAACAGGUUGAUAUUCCUGUACUACCGAUAACC